UGCUAGAAUCUGUAAAGCUCGGGAGGGAUAGCGCCAUAGAAUAUCUUCAAUUUCUCUUCUUUGUUGUUAUAUUGAUUUUCUCUAGCGCUAUCCAUCCUGAGUUUCAUGGCUUCUUCAU
Molecule: microRNA precursor, 118 nt
Filed under: Cicer arietinum (chickpea)
Lineage: Eukaryota; Viridiplantae; Streptophyta; Magnoliopsida; Fabales; Fabaceae
Description: MIR390 microRNA precursor family
Rfam family: MIR390 microRNA precursor family
Source: Rfam by way of RNAcentral